This is a long non-coding RNA of Ochotona curzoniae (black-lipped pika), 1025 nucleotides long. RefSeq lists it as uncharacterized. Lineage: Eukaryota; Metazoa; Chordata; Mammalia; Lagomorpha; Ochotonidae. The transcript has 4 exons. The record is from RefSeq and is a predicted model, not a curated record.
UGAGCCUCCUGGGAAAUGUAGUCUCCCGAUGACGUCAUCAGCAAGCGCCUGGGAAGGGUCCUUCCAGGGUCUCCUGUGCUUUCUCGCCAUUUCCUCUCUGAAUUCCAGGCUCUGUGUCUCUGCUGGGGAUCAUCCACAGGCUGUGCAGUCGGUUUCACGUCCUGGCGAGCUGGAUGAGAGACAGAGAGAAGUCCUGUGGGCUUUGCAGGGCCCUGGAGUGGGGUGGUGCUCCCCACGUGGUGAGUGCAGACCCAGCGGUGCAUCUCAGCGGGCGCCACCCCAUGCAGACGGAACCUGCAGAACAAUGGCGCUGCAUCCUCUGGCUGGGAAAGGGUGAGGAAGACAGCGCGAUGUCAGUGAUCACUCUGCCAGAAGACCCGCGGCGCCGGAGACUGGCGUGUGCUCCUGGAACAGAAGGGGAAGGAGCUGCCUGGACGAGCUGGCCGUGUGUGCUGGCUGUGCAGUGACAGGCUCCCGGGGAGGUGCACUGCGAGGUGUGUGAAACCACAUGCUGGCUCUGGCGCUGAGAGCCCCAGCUGGAGAUGAGCACAUCGACAGCACUGCCCGGUUCCCUGAGGACUCUGCGAAGUGCAGUGCAGGUGGAAGCUGUGUCGGUUUAGUAAGUGAUGUGCCCACAUGGUCAGGUUUGUGCCAGGCUGAAGCCCAGCUUCUAGAGCUCCAUCCAGGACCAUAGCUGCUUGAGCUGCUGGCUGCCAAGGUGCACAUCACCAGGAAGCCAGAAUUGAGCCUAGAUUGAAGUCCAGGCACUUCCAACAUGUGGUGUUGGCACCCAGGUGAAUGGUUUCCAAGCAUUGUAAGAGUUCAAGAAAAAUCUUGUGAGACUCCAAGGAAGGUGAAAUGAUUUUUAUUUAACAUCCAGUUGGGCGCCCAGCUCUUGGAAUGAACAGCAAGUGCAUUGAACAAAGAGGAGUCUGCUCAAUGAAAUGCCCAGUCCAAAGGCUGUGAUGGAUGUAGGGACUGCUGCAAGACCAGACUGUGAGCAUCACAGACAGUGUGAACAGCUG